GCGGACGGGUGAGUAACGCGUGGGUAACCUGCCUCACACAGGGGGAUAACAGUUGGAAACGGCUGCUAAUACCGCAUAAGCGCACAGUACCGCAUGGUACAGUGUGAAAAACUCCGGUGGUGUGAGAUGGACCCGCGUCUGAUUAGCUAGUUGGCAGGGCAACGGCCUACCAAGGCGACGAUCAGUAGCCGACCUGAGAGGGUGACCGGCCACAUUGGGACUGAGACACGGCCCAAACUCCUACGGGAGGCAGCAUG
This 257-nucleotide ribosomal RNA is filed under the name uncultured bacterium. RNAcentral describes it as "partial 16S ribosomal RNA". It matches the Rfam family "Bacterial small subunit ribosomal RNA", at positions 98 to 353 of the family's 1533-position model. The record is from RNAcentral.